ACUCAGAAUGCAAAGCAGGGGCCAGAAAGCAGGUUCCACCAUCUCCUCCUGGAGAUGGCAGCAAACUGAGGCAGGUACAGUCGCGCGCGCCACGCUGGUACGUUUCAUAUGCUCUAUUUGCUUUUCUCUGUAACUUAACAAGCCAUCAUGGGAACAGCCAACAACAGUCCAUCAGCCAUAAACCUCUUUGAGGAGAUGAAAAAUUAUACCCAGCCUGACGUCCUGUGUCACACGUUUGACCUCCUCUCUAACCUUCACAAGUUGCUCCCAAACCGUCUGGUGGAAGUGCUUCAUUCCUACAGAAGUGAAGACGACAAAAUUAAAUGUGAGAAUUCCGAAUUCUCGGGCUUGGAAAAGAUCUUAGCAAGACACCAGUUGCCGAAAGAGGUUAGUCUGACUCCAAAGCCCAGCAAAAUGCCCUCAUGGAAAAGAAAAACUAUCAACAAUAUAAGCGGCAACUGGAGGAAAUGUCACAUGUGGAAGAAAAACACAUACGAGCCGCCCAUGUGCACGAUCAUUGUUAGGUGGGCAAAAAAGAACUUGCAACCCUCAGAGGACCUCAAGUCGGUGAUGCAAAGACUGUCCGCACUAGGCCCAAUUAUCUCAGUCACUCCUUGUGGACGACAAAGUGCUGUCGUGGUGUACAAAGAUACGACCUCGGCUUGCAAGGCUGUGAGUGCUUUUCAGAAAAUAUCCGCAGGCACAAUGUUCCAGUGCACAUGGCAGCAUCGAUUCAUGUCAAAAAGGAGACCUUGGACAAGAAAACGUCCUUUAAGAAUAUAAUCAGUCAACAUAGCUUCAAGAAUAUAAUCAGAAAAGCAGCCACAAUUAAGGAACCAUAAACAGCAAAGCUUCAUAGUCUUCUGGAUAUGUAGAAUCUACUGGAAACUCUCAAGUUCUAAACAAUUCCCAACUCCACUGAGUUAAGCAAACACUUUAAUCCCCUUCCACAAAAAAUAGGAAUAAGGCUGAAAUUCUACAGUUGCGUAAGUGAAAGAAA
This is an RNA transcript of Peromyscus leucopus (white-footed mouse), 1000 nucleotides long. It is a transcript of the gene named chromosome 5 C6orf201 homolog, with no coding region annotated. The record is from RefSeq and is a predicted model, not a curated record. Lineage: Eukaryota; Metazoa; Chordata; Mammalia; Rodentia; Cricetidae. The transcript has 5 exons.